Vombatus ursinus (common wombat) is the source of this 1379-nucleotide long non-coding RNA. RefSeq lists it as uncharacterized. The record is from RefSeq and is a predicted model, not a curated record. Lineage: Eukaryota; Metazoa; Chordata; Mammalia; Diprotodontia; Vombatidae. The transcript is spliced from 4 exons.
GAUAGAACAAGGCUGUUCCUGUGCUGACAUCUCCAAGACAUGGAAGCUUUAGUGUUUGUCCUGUGGCCGUGAUAGUGGGACUACAACCUCUGGAGUCCACCAUCUUAAUUCCAACAUUCGUCAUGUGAGAAAGUACCAAACUUCAACUUCUCUCUUGGAUGGAGUUCAUCUGGGUCAAGUGACUUGAACUUAUUGAGGGGGAGGAUUCCCACCCCCGCCCCCACCUAUGGCCAAAGUCAUCUGUGAUGGUUGGAUGUAAAAGAAUCUAAUGGCUGAAACCAAGGACCUGAUGACCCUUGUGAAGAAAUGUGGCCAUCCCAAUAGUCCUCAAAAAGUACCCUGAUAUGUGAAGGAUGAAGAACCCAGGAAUGCAGGAUCAUCACUGAUCAUUGAGUUCCUUGCUCCUACUGAAGUAACCUGAACAACCCUGGUUGUGUCUUGGAUUGCCUCUGUCCCCAGGUAUAUUCUUGAACUACCCUCAACAACAGCUGUUGUCAAUUGACCCUGCCCACCCUUGCGUGUCUAAUUUUUGGUUUCAUUAUCUUGUGUCAGUUAAAUUGUGACUGUUAUAAAGGACUAAAGCUUUUUAGUGUCACUGACUUAUUUGCCUCUUUGACAGCCUCUAAGUCCCAAAGCAAUAGCAACAAGCUGGGCCAUCUCUUGAUUCCAAAUCCAGAACACAUUCUCCUAUGCCAAAAGUGUAUAGAUAAAGAAGACUAGAAUAUUGAGGAUUGAACUUUGAAUAAUGGUCAUAAUUAGGGCUCAAAAGGAGGAAGAAAAACCAGUAGAAGAAGGAAUAGAGGGCUAGGAAGGAAGGAGGGAAACCAGAUUAGUGUACUAUCAUGAAAGUCAAGACAGGAGAGAAUUUCAAGAGGGAGAGAGUGGUUAACAGUGUCAAAUAUAGCAAAGUGGUAUAAGAGAAUGGGAAGAGAGAAAGAAAAAAAGUUAGAUUUUUAAAAUGCAAAGGUCAUUUGUGACUUUCAAGUAAGCUUUUAAAAUACUGUAUCCUUUAGCCUAUUGGCUGGAGGUUAAGGAGGAAGUGAAUAUUGAAGAAAUGAAAGCAGUGAGUGCAUCAUGAGUUAAUGAGAAACUUGGCACUGAAAGGAGAGAAAUAGAGCAUUAGUUAAGAGGAACAACAGAAGAGUCAUCCAAAGUAGGGGAGGCCUAUGAACAGUUUUCAUCCUGGGGGCAGAAAGAUGGUUCUCCUGUAAACUUGACACAUUCAGAGUUGGUUCAUGUGGAUAGAGAAUUGUUCUUUCCUCCCCUUCUCUAGCAUGAGUCCUGUCAUAGAAUCCUAGCCAAAGAAGAUAAUUCAGGGAUGGUCAAAUAGAAAGACUUCCCUUUGCCUAGAAAUGUGGGUUUAUUGUAAACAAAUAAGG